RNAcentral lists this ribosomal RNA (464 nucleotides) under Bacillus toyonensis. RNAcentral describes it as "bacterial SSU rRNA". It matches the Rfam family "Bacterial small subunit ribosomal RNA", at positions 418 to 873 of the family's 1533-position model. The record is from RNAcentral. Lineage: Bacteria; Bacillati; Bacillota; Bacilli; Caryophanales; Bacillaceae.
UCGGGUCGUAAAACUCUGUUGUUAGGGAAGAACAAGUGCUAGUUGAAUAAGCUGGCACCUUGACGGUACCUAACCAGAAAGCCACGGCUAACUACGUGCCAGCAGCCGCGGUAAUACGUAGGUGGCAAGCGUUAUCCGGAAUUAUUGGGCGUAAAGCGCGCGCAGGUGGUUUCUUAAGUCUGAUGUGAAAGCCCACGGCUCAACCGUGGAGGGUCAUUGGAAACUGGGAGACUUGAGUGCAGAAGAGGAAAGUGGAAUUCCAUGUGUAGCGGUGAAAUGCGUAGAGAUAUGUAGGAACACCAGUGGCGAAGGCGACUUUCUGGCUGUAACUGACACUGAGGCGCGAAAGCGUGGGGAGCAAACAGGAUUAGAUACCCUGGUAGUCCACGCCGUAAACGAUGAGUGCUAAGUGUUAGAGGGUUUCCGCCCUUUAGUGCUGAAGUUAACGCAUUAAGCACUCCGCC